GUCACAAUAAUUGUGGUGUGCUGCAGCCCUGAAAAAAUUCGUGACAAAUUAUGUUGCAAAGGUGGCAAAGUAAUCAAAAGCAUUGAAAUCAAAGCGCCUCCAAAGCCCAAAGAGCCCGAAAAAAAGCCCAAAGAACCCGAAAAUAAACCCAAAGAGCCCGAAAAGCCGAAAAUUGUUGUCAUCGAAAAGCCCAAAGAGCCCGAAAAGCCGAAAGUCGUUACAUUCGAAAAGCCUAAAGAACCCGAAAAGCCGAAAGAGAAGCCCAAGUCCGACGGACCUCCUAAGGAGGCUCCGAAGGGCGCUGAGCCGGCUAAAAAACCGGAAGCGGCCGCCGCGAAGCCGCAGCCGUCGGCGGAGCCGGCGAAGGGUCCCGAGCCGGUUCCGGUGAACGGAGUCCCGUCGGUUUUCCCUUACGUGGGGCCGAGUUACGAUGGUUAUAGCUCCGGCCCGUAUUACCAUGGCUACGGGUUUCCGCCGCCGCCGCAGCCGUGUUACGAAGGGUAUUAUGGGAAUGCCAAUGGGUACGGAUACGGGUCGGGGACCGGGUACGGGUACGGGUCCGGGUAUGGUAGGGUUGGUCAAGUCAACAGAUCUGAUAACUACUUCAGUGAAGAAAACCCUCAAGCUUGCUCCAUCAUGUAAUUGCCAUAUAUAUCCAUCUUUUUUUCCAAUAUUAAUAUUAAAGAUUAUUAUAUAUAUAUUAUAUAGAAUAAAUGAGAUUUAAAAAAAAAUAAUAAUAGUAAUUACUACAGUGUCGGUGGGGAAUUGGAUAUUGGUUGUUACUUGUUAAUGGUGGAUGGUUCAAUUUUAUAAUAAUGUUUUAUUUUUGUUUGUAUUAGUGUAAGUUGUCAACACUAAUCAUUGAUGGCUCUUUUUUGAAUACCUUUUUAUGGUUUAUUAUAUUAUUACUUUAUUUUCUUGUCCUAUUUAAUCUAUUUAAUUAUCCAUUUUUAGGCAAUUCAAUUAUAUUGGUGGUGGAAUUGAUGAUAAGAUAAGAUGGCACCAAUUGAGGAUGCUAACAAAAUAAAUUUGUUUCUAGUGUCCCAAUUUGUUAUAUUGAUUUUGAUAUUUGAUUGGUCACGAGCUUUACAAAGUCCAAUUUAUUUAUCAAUUAUAUGCUUUAAUAUUUAAUAUUUAUUUGCCAAGUGAAAAAACAAUAACUGAAAUGAUAAAUGUCCUCGUUUGUUUAAUUUCAAAUGUUAUUUGAACUUCUUUUAACACUACUUGUCUCGUUAAUUUGACUUAUAUGAUGUGCUGCAACCGAUGAAUUGCAUCGGGUGAUUAUUAACCGUUGAUUGAUUUGCACAUUCAUGUGUAUUUGUGCCUAGUGUUGAUUAUUUAACCACAUUUACCAGAUGUAGUAUCUCAAUAACCCAUAAUUAGGUGGUGUUUGGAACCGGUGGAUCCCCAUGGGUCUCUUAGUCCNNNNNNNNNNNNNNNNNNNNNNNNNNNNNNNNNNNNNNNNNNNNNNNNNNNNNNNNNNNNNNNNNNNNNNNNNNNNNNNNNNNNNNNNNNNNNNNNNNNNNNNNNNNNNNNNNNNNNNNNNNNNNNNNNNNNNNNNNNNNNNNNNNNNNNNNNNNNNNNNNNNNNNNNNNNNNNNNNNNNNNNNNNNNNNNNNNNNNNNNNNNNNNNNNNNNNNNNNNNNNNNNNNNNNNNNNNNNNNNNNNNNNNNNNNNNNNNNNNNNNNNNNNNNNNNNAAUCGAAAAAAUAGGUCAUAGAUGCCGUUAAAAUAUAGUCAAAACAACUUAUUUUAAACAUAGCAAAAACAAAAGGUGAUUUUACAAACUCCUAAAAGACUGAUUAUAAGCCAAAAAAAAAAGAAGCUCAAAAUCUAUUUUUAAAAGCUCUAGCAAACACCACCUUAAUCACAAAGGGCAAAUUGGCUAAGAAAUGAAUCAAUAAUAAUAUGUUUGCAUUUUGAUAUAUCCCAUCGGUUAAGCCCAAUGGGCCCAACUUUUCAAAAAAAUAAUAAAGCCCAAUAGGCCGAAAAAAUAUUAAAUUUAUUAUAUAAAGAAUUAUUAUAUAAUUAAUUUUAAAAUUAUAUAUAUAUAUACUAAAUUUAUUUGUUCUCUGAAAAGCACCGCCCUUCUUCUGAUAAGGCCCUCCCUUGAACCCCAGAAACCAACGCCAAAAACCCACACACACACACAUACACAGAGUGCAGAGGUGGAGCAUUCAACAAUGGCGUACAAUCUGAGCGCGUCGCCGUCAACUUCUCUAUCUCACGAAACCCAUCUCUUCUGCAACUCUCUCUCUCCUCCAAAUCUCCAUCAACUCAGAACCCAUAAAAAUCUCUUCUUUCCUCUCAAAAUCCACCCCGGAAACCCCAAUCUCCGCGUCUCCUCCAGAGUUUCAUUACAAGAACUACCCGCCGCGAACACAGCCUCCCAAAAUUCCGGAACCCCAAUUGAAGAAAAACCCAUUUCGAAAUCCACCGCUUGGGUCAACCCCAAAAGCCCACGCGCCUCCAAAUUGAGGCAGAAAUCGCACGAUUACAGGCACGCCUCGUUAUUGAAGCUGGCCGAAUCUUUAGAUUCCUGCGCCCCCGUCGAAGAGGAUGUUUCGAGCGUGUUGAAUAUUCUCGGAGGUGGUGUAUUGGAACAGGACGCAGUGAUUGUUCUGAACGGAAUGUCGAAUACCGAAACUGCCCCUCUGGUGCUCGAUUAUUUUCGGAAGAGGCUGAAGGUGAAGAGAGAAGUUGUGCUGUACAAUGUGACCAUGAAAGUAUUUCGAAAGUGCAAAGAUUUAAUCGGGGCGGAGAAUUUGUUCACUAAGAUGCUCGAAAAGGGGGUUAAGCCCGAUAACGUAACUUUCUCGACGCUGAUUAGCUGCGCUAGGCAGUGCUCGUUGCCCGAGAAGGCGGUCGAGUGGUUCGAGAAGAUGCCGUCGUUCGGGUGCGAGGCGGAUAAGGUGACUUGUUCGGUGAUGGUGGAUGCGUACGGUAGAGUUGGCAAUGUGGAACUUGCGUUGAGUUUGUACGAUCGCGCAAGGAGCGAGAAGUGGCGGCUCGACGCGGUAACUUUUUCGACGUUGAUUAGGAUUUAUGGGUCGUUGGGGAAUUUCGAUGGGUGCUUGAAUUUGUACGAAGAGAUGAAGGCGUUAGGUGUUCGACCAAAUGCCUCCGUGUACAACUCUUUGUUGGAUGGUAUGGGGAGAGCUAAACGACCGUGGCAAGCGAAGAAUAUUUAUCGUGACAUGGUGAAAAACGGGGUCGAGCCCACUUGGGGCACUUACGCAGCGUUGCUUAGGGCGUAUGCUAGGGCCCGAUACGGAGAAGAUGCGCUCGCGGUGUAUAGAGAGAUGAAGGAGAAGAAAUUGGAGUUGAGUGUUGUGCUGUACAACACUCUCUUGUCCACGUGUGCUGACGUGGGAUUGGCUGAUGAGGCUGUCGAGAUUUUCGAGGAUAUGAAGAGUUCGGGUACGUGUAUGCCCGACAGCUGGACGUUUGCGUCGUUGAUUACGAUAUAUUCUUGCAGUGGGAAAGUCGAAGAGGCCGAGGCGAUGUUGGAUGAAAUGGUGGGGUCCGGUUUCGAGCCUAAUCUCUUCGUCUUAACGUCGUUGAUACAGUGUUAUGGAAAAUCAGGCCGGACGGAUGAUGUUGUAAGGACUUUCGAUCGGAUGUUGGAGCUGAAUAUAAAGCCGGACGAUCGGUUCUUCGGUUGUUUACUUAAUGUAAUAACACAAGCACCGAUCGAAGAUUUGGGCAAGUUAACCGAUUGCAUCGAGAGAGCCAAUCCGAAGUUAGGCCACGUCGUGCAGCUUCUUGUCAACGGAGACGAAAAAAAAGCCGAAGGUGAAAUCUUGAAAAAGGAAGCCGGCGAGCUUUUCGGGUCGAUUAGCGUCGAUGUGAAAAAGGCAUACUGCAAUUGCUUGAUUGAUCUGUGUGUUAAUUUAAAUCAGUUGGGUAGGGCUUGUGAGUUGUUGGAGCUAGGGUUAGGGUUGGAGAUAUACACCGACAUUAUGUCGAAAACCCCGAUGCAGUGGUCUUUGCAUUUGAAGAGCCUCUCGUUGGGGGCUGCGUUGACCGCGCUGCAUAUAUGGAUGAACGAUUUGUCGAGGGCGAUUGAAAACGGGGAGGAGUUGCCUUCUUUGCUCGGGAUUAACACGGGGCACGGGAAACAUAAAUUUUCGGAAAAGGGCUUAGCUGGCGUUUUCGAGGAUCAUUUGAAGGAGCUGAACGCUCCUUUCCACGAGGCCCCGGAGAAGAUCGGGUGGUUUUUGACUACUAAAGUUGCUGCCACAUCGUGGCUCGAGUCGAGGCGUUUGACUGAUGUGGCUGCUUGAUCGAUACUCCGAUUUUUUGGGGUAAGUGUUUUUUUUUUUUUUAUUGAAUUUUGUUGAAUCUGCUGAUAAGAGGAAUUUUUGUUUUAUUCUUGUUUUGUUAGUUGAGUGUGGGCUUUAGGCGAUUAUAUAUCGAACAACUCUCGUUUGUUAUUGUCAUGUUUGUAUCGUUGCUGUUCGAUGAAGUGUGUUUUAGUGAGAUCGUUGUCUUUAAAUUCGAAAGAUGUGUAUUUAUGAUUAUCGAAUACGGAGACUAAAAAUUAUCUGGUUUGUUUAUAUGCAAUAAUCUGUAAUUAGUAUCGACCUCUGUCGAGUGUCGACCCUAACGAUUUUUUUAAGGUUUCAUUAACAGAACCUUAAACCAAAGUCAUAGGUUUCUUGUUUUCGAUUCGCAAUAGGGGAAUACUAUUAAAAAGGUUGUAUUGCAAGCAACCUAUAAGCCAAUGCAGGAAAUGAAAAUGACCGUAUUACCCUUCGAGUGUUUACGUUCAUAAUUGCCACAAAGGGACGAUGAAGUAAUUUUACAGAGAGAAGGGGUGACACCGUAAGAUUGGAAUAACCAAUUAGCUGAGGAAAGAAAGAACGGUGUAUCUGUUAAGCAAAGAAUCUGUGUAAAUUAGGCUAUCAUAUCGAAAAUCGAAAAUAAAAAGCCCGUAAAAUCCCGUUUCGAUUAGGCUAUCAUAUCGGAAAUCGAAAAUAAAAAGCCCGUAAAAUCCCGUUUCGAAAAGAACGUGCAUUUCAAAAUGGAAAUCUAUUCCGUGUUUUUGCAGCACAGAUUCUUCUUAUCUGCAGCAGUAGCCUUGUUGUUAAGCCUGGCAUGUUUAUUGACCAUUAUGCCCCCGGUAAUUAGCGUCCUCUAUUAUUUCUGGCCUCUUUUCGUCUCCACAGCUAUAGCUUUGGUGGCUAUAAUUGUAAUUGGCCAAAUAUCGCCUAUACCUCGAGAAUUCUCCGAUGAAAGACAAGGAGAAGCGCUGUUGGAUUACGUUGCGGGAAAACAAGAGUCGCUCGAAAAUUACUAGUAGUGAUUCCGAUUUGAAGAUGAUUAACUAGACUCGAUAAUUACGUUGUAUUAUCUUUUAUCUUUUUUUUUAUUCGACGUGUACUUUUUUUAAUAAAGAAAUUUCGGAAUUGUAAAAAACUAACGAAGCUUCGAAAUUUAAUAAUAUAUAUAUGUUAUGUGCAUGACUGUUACGUAUUUCCUCAUUUUCCGAAUAUAGAUCUUCAUCUUCUUCUUCUUUGUAUUGAACUGUAACACUAAAUGUAGUACCUGCAUAUUGAAUGGAUGUUGCAUUUUCUUGAACUACGAAACCAUCUUCACUCUUGACGAGUGUUGCGUAGUGAUCCGAACCCGAGUGGGUCCCGGUGAGUUUCGUGUUGUUCCUGGCCAGAAUGAUGGGGAUUCCAUUGCAGUCCAUUGCAGACCAAGAACACGAACUUCCUAUCCAGAAUCUGAUCAAGAAUCGGCAAAAUCGAAGUCGAAAUUUUAGGAAAUCGUCAAGUGUGAACGACUGAAAAAAUGUACCUCGAUAAAUUAAUAACAUUGUUUAGAUAAUAAUUUCUUACGGUCCGGACUCGGUAAAGACGUACUAAAUUAUUAGCUCGAUAAUUCAAUAUUUGGCAAAAUUAAUAGAAUUUUGUCGGUCCCGACUAUAUUAAUUUAUGGAGGUUUAACAGUAUAUGGUGAAAUAAUUAGGCUAGGCUUGUUCUUUUAUAAGGCCCAAUGUAUAUAUAUAUUUUUUUGAAAUUGAAUUAUUGAAAUAAAUAUAAAUGUGCUCUUGUGGGGAUUGUUUUAUUUACAUACUAAAAUUUACAUAAAUUAAUUAAAAUAAAUAAUUAAAAAAAAAAAAAAAAACGAGGUGGUCGGAAGAAAAAAGACAAAACAAAAACCUGUGCAGAGUGCAAACAAAUCCCACGAAACAUUUGUGGUACAUUACAGUAAUGCUAUUUUGCCUUUGCUAACACCACCUUCUCUCCUCUCUCUCUCUCUCUCUCUCUCUAGAGCUUUCUCUCUCUUCUCUCUUUCUCAAAUGUUCUUGUUUUUUGUUAAACCCAUUCUCCACCUUCAUAAACCCUUUUGCCGCCAUAGUUGUCACAAUAAAUUAUCUGCUCUAAAACUGAACGCAUGCUUUGAAUUUUUCCGGGGUUACUUUUUUUAUUAUUUCUCUGGGUUUAUUUUAUCUCCGAGUUUGGUUCUUUGUCCUGAAGCUGUUUCUGCAUUUUAAGGUUUGUGGGAUUUUUUUUAAUUUUUUUUAAUUUUUUAAAUUUUUUAUUUUUAUUUUGCUUGUCAUGUAAUUCUUGGUUGCGGCAUGUUCAUUUUCAGACACCGUGUGUGUGUGUGUGUAAUGGUUUUCGAUUUUACGAAAAUAAAAUCAAUUUUUCAGACCAGUAAUUAAAGAAAUUUAAGCUUCUCUAUUUAUUUAUUUAUUGAUUCUUGUUUGCCAUGUUUAUUAGAAACUAGAAAUUAUCCUACAAUUUUUCGCAGAAUUUCGAUUUUUUUUUUUUUUAACAACCGUAAUUGGAAUUGCUUAUUUCCUGAAAAGGGUUUUUCAUUAUGCUAUUACUUGUUCAGAAUGUCUGAAAAUCAGGUUCUGAAAGCAUGGGAAGAGCGAGUAAUUUCGUCGGAGAAGGGGAAUCGGAUUAUUCACUAUAUACUAAAAGAUUCCACCGGAGAUUCUCUUCUUGCGGUGGUGGGGAAAGAGAGGAGUAUUAACCACAUGUGUUAUACAGUUUCAGAGGAAUUCUUACAUGCAAUGGGGCCCACAAGCACCGCCCACUCAUCGACAAAGUGGCGGUCAAGGCGAGAUGUUGUUGAGUGGCUCGUUUCGCUAGUCUCGGAAAACGGACCGAUCUUUGCUAACUCGAGUACGUAUAAUUAUUGCCCGUUUAGCUUAAAUAUUUGCAUGUUUACAAUUUAUUCAAGAUUGUGGUAAUGAAUCUUGAUCAGUAAUUCGAUUAUGUUGUUUUUGAAGAAAUGAUACGUAUUUCGAGGGUAAAAUUAUCGAAUGAAUUCGAAAGGGGGAAGAAAUGUAGCUGUUUUAUUUAGUUUAGUACCUAUUUUAACUCGACUUCGUCGAUCUUAUUUUUUCCCAUUUGGAUUAUGUUUUACGUUUGAAAUUUGUUCUUCUCGUUCGAUUUGUUAACCGAUUUAUCUGUCCUCUAAAAAAAAGCAGCCAAUCCUUCGACUCUUAAACGCCAAAUCAUACAGAAAAGCAAGAAGAAUCGACAGACUACAACUCCCGAAGAACUUCCGAAGCGAGCUUUCAAGAAAAUCAAACUCUGCAUGCUAUUAAAUCACACGCUCGAAAACACUACUAGCCUUGCGGGUCCCACAAAAUCGGACCCAACUAAUCAUAAGAAAUUGUUGAAAAUGAAACCACCCGAGCCACAAACACUGUCCGAAUUCAACACGAAUAUCGAGCUUCUCAGUCAAGACAAAGGCAUGCAAGGCUGCUGGUUCAGAUGCAAGAUACUCCGUUCAUCGCAAACUCGUGUUAUGGUUCAGUACACGGAUGUCUCGAAAGUUGGCGAACCCGGAAAACUAGAGGUAUAUAUACAUAUACAGAAGAUGCAUACGCAUAUACAUACACGUGUAUUGAUCGACUUGUCUAAAUUGUGUAGGAAUGGGUCCCGGCGUACAGGGUGGCGAAUCCGGAUAAACUUGGAGUGAGAUGUGGGACCCGCCUUACGAUUAGGCCUCGGCCUUGUAAGGAAUCUUGUGAAGAAACUAGGUUUGUUGUCGGAGAUGCGGUUGAUGCAUGGUGGUGCAAUGGGUGGUGGGAAGGUGUCGUAAUUGGUUACGACUCACUUGCUAAACGUAAUCUUCAAGUUUACUUCCCCGGUAAGUCUUUGAUUAGUCGUGAUUAAUUUAAUUAUUGGACCUUACCAACCAAACGAGGCCUUACAAAAUACCGAGGAUUUGAUAAUGCGGUGAUCAUUUUACGGCAGGUGAGAACAGGUUUUUGACAGUUGAGAGAAAGAACACUCGAGUUUCAAAAGAUUGGAUCGAUAGCCAAUGGGUGAAUAUAAAGGCGAAGUCCAAUAUACUCUCGUUCCUAUCUUCGAUUUUCAGCACGAAACUACUUCCUCCACUCCCCGUUUUGGCUGAUGCUGCCAGCUGUGCACCUGGCAAUAGCAAAAUUCUCAAACCCGAGCAACUUCAAGUGAAUGAAGAUGAUAAAUCUGUAGAGGGACUUAAUUUCAAGAAACGGUUUAUAAGUAGAUAUAAUGAAAGUAUAUCUCGUGCUUCUGGUUAAGCGAGAACAACGAAAUUCCCCUUUUUUUUUUGCUGGCAGCUUAAAAUUGUGAAGCAGUUGGUAUAGUUGAAACUGCUUUAGUAAGCCUAAGUAUUAUUUAUAGCAGUGUACAUAUUUUGGCUGUGUAUAAAUUUCUCAUCAAUUAUUCUGUAAUACCAAUCCAGCUGAAUUUACAAAAAAAAAAAAAAAAUCGAAAGAAUUACAACCGUUUGAUCUAUAGAAGUACUCAAAUCAAGAAAAACUUCAGUAAGAAUGGUGAAUGAAUUUUCAGAUAAAGCUCAUAUCAGCCUAAAGAUUGCCAUGAAUACUCGACUAGAAGAGCCUAAUUCCGAGAUUAAAAAAAAAUUGAAAAAAUGGUAGCCGAUAAAAUUCUCAAAUCGAACAAUUGCAGAAAAAAACCCGAAUUUGAUGGCCGAUAUAUUUACAUCAUGGCUGAACAAUCCCCUUCUUCAUAAGAAUAUUGUAAACUUUGUCGAUCUUGAGUGGGUCGAUUCGAAAGAAUGCAUAGGCAUCAGAUUUCGUCUUUAUUUUGCCGCUCAGAAUUAGUAUCGACAUUCGCUCCUGCAUUUUCAGAUACUGUUUUGGAACUAAUCCCAUUUCUUGGCAAAGCUUCAUCUCCUGCCAACACACAAUCACAGUACAUAUAUAAAAAUAUUGCACCAUAUGGGGUGUUUUUGCGAAUAUUAAUAAUAAGAGACCCUUCUUAGCAAUUAGCUAUAAUACAGGGGACUAAAUGCAAUAAACUCCAAUAUAUUCGGAAAAAAAACUGCACACACUUACAGAUUCAGACAGUAAAUUGGCAGCAGAAACAGAGGCAGAAUCGAGGUCAGUUGACGAGUUGCCUUGGCCAGCAGAUGUUGUAGUUGAGUAAGUACCGAACGAAUCGGAAGAUACCGGAAUAUUCCGGCUCUCCUGGCUGCUCUGCCCCGCCUGAGAACUCUCUUUCCGGCGAGCAUUAUCCUCCGCUUCUCUCCUCCUCUGUUCAAAAUAUCUAUCCGCUUCAGCCGAUGUACGACACCCCACAGCUCGUGCCACCUACAAUAAAAUAUUCAAUUUAAAUUAAUUUCCAAGAAAAAUAAAUAAAGUUACAAUAUUAUUUUUGCAGUAUACCCUACCUUGAGUUCAACCAUUCGUCUUUUAAUCCUAUGUGCUGAAAUCACACUUUUUAUUAGUUCUUCGUGCUCCUCUUUCGUAUGCAAACGCAUCAAGGGGUCGUAUUUUCGGACUAUCUCCUUCUCCUCUUGACUCAGUUCCCCAAACGGACUUGGAUCUAGAAGAUUCCUUUCCACAAUAAAAUCCUUCCUCCUUUUCCUCUCGUCCAGCCUGUCAAAUCGCAUUUAAAACAUAUUUUACGACGAAGACAUAUGGAAUACGGUUAUUAAAAAAAUAAAAAAAUAAAAAAUACCUCUUUGAAUAUAUACGGAGCACUCUGAUUUUCAACUCACGCUCGACUUCUGUAUCGUUUUCUUUAAAUUCCAUGUCAGCUAGUAAUUGUUCUGCAUCAUUAUCGUAUUCGACAUCGAAUUCUUGUCUUUUAGGGUUGUAACCAAUUGCAUCCAUUAAAGAUGGGGCUUUUGCCUUUGUCGAUUUAGGUUUGUUUCCACCAAAACUCCGCCCUGAUAUAUGAUGUACCGAUAAUACAUUAAAGCUUAAAGUGACAGAAAAAAAAAAUUAAAUUAAAAUAAAUAAUAGUUUCCACCAGAAAUUUACCCACCCUCGGUUUUCGGAUUUUCUCCCUGAUCUUUCGCGUGGGACAUGUUGGAUGCCUUCUUAUUAACUUUGGCUCCUGCAAUUUUUUAAUUUUUAUUUUAGUUUAGAAUCAUUCGAGAAUAUCGUUUCAAUAAUUAGAACAUAAUUGUGAUUACCGGCACUGGAGGCGGCUGAAGGCAAACGGCCUGACGAACCGCUUUUGUACGAAUCUUCAACCCUAAGAAAAAUAAAAAGAGUACGAGUUUAAAAGGUGUUUUCGAGAUAGUGUUACACAAUAUUUGUACAUAAACAGUUACUGUACUUGACUCGUGACGGGGAAAACGGGGUUUCCUCUUCUAGUUUCAAUUCCCCUGCAAAGGAAGGCAGUUAGGGUCGACUUUUUUCAGAUAAUACGGUAAAUAAAUCCCUAAAUCUAAAAAUUCAGUCAAAAAACAAAAAAAAUAAAAAAAUAAAGCAGAACGAACCUAUUUUGUCCUGAAGAUUCCCUUUACCCAUUGCAAGGAGUUCGUUUCGAUUUUUUCCAUCAACAUGUGACAUAUCCUGACAAAGGAAAUGCAUUUUAUCAUUUUACGAUAAAAAAAAUAAAAAAAUUAUUACAACCUUACAAAAAUGCAUACCGGUAGAGGAAAGUAAGGAGAAUUAAGGUAAGCAUUCCGAUAAUGUUCGAUACACAUUUCCUUUGUCUUGGUUCCGACAUGCUCAGCAACUUCUGCCCAAUUUCCCAUUCCAUACAUUUCAAGUCCCUGCUCGAGUGGUAUAAGUGAGGCAGAUAAAACGAUAGAAAUUCGAAAAAUAAAAUAAACGAGUUACAGAGAAAAAAAUAAUCACCUCCAACAGUAACAUUUCUUCAUCAGCAUUCCAGUCGGGAGUAAUGAGAGGAAACGACAGAGUGUCCUAUACAUAUCACGAAUUUCCAGUAAUAUAUUAUUUAAUAAAAAGAGAAAUGGCACGAAAAAAAAUUAAGUUAAAUAUCGUUAGAUGAUGUACUAACCAUAACCCGAUAAGAAUGAGAACUUUUGUGUGGAUGGACUUCAGCCCCGACUGAGAAGCACUCUACGCAUAAGUCGAAAUCAGAACACACGGCACAUUUCAUACGAAUUCGCCCUGUAAUGUCUUUGUUGCAAUAGUUACAAUGGUACAGUGCCCCUUUUCCGUCUGUGGUUCCUUGCCCUGAGUAAUCAAGAACACGACACAAAAAUAAAUAUCUCGAAUUUUGCAGAAUCCAAUCAGACAAGAACAGAAAGUCGGAAACUAUAUAGCAUCACUUGGCGAAUGACUCAAUUCUUGAAGAUAUAUACAAACAAUAUAAGACCAAUGAACAAUGAUUUUUUCUUUAUGUGCCGUAUGCUGAUUUUUUUCUAUUGAGAUAUCGAAAUCUAAGGUAUGAUACAGAUCCAUUUACGAAAUGUCAAUUUAACUUGUAAGAGAAGAUAUGUAACCUGUCGAAGAAGAUUCAAAAUUUUCUCCACUAGAUGCAUUCUUUUUUCUCCUUGAUCUGCCAAGAAAUACAGAGUAUGUCCAAUUAAAAGAAAAAUACAAUUUCCGACAUCACUCGGGAACCAAAUGAAAUUAGUGAAAACAAUAGAGUAAAUGUUGAGACGAAAUUGAGAUUGACGGAGUAUUGGAUUCGGUAAUGAAAGUUAACAUACUCCCACAUACUAAAAAGUUCAUUAUACAUGAGAAGGCAAAACAUAAAUUACAUAAAAAACGGAAAAGCCAAAACAAUAAAGAAAAUGCAAUCUACUGCCAAGAAAUAUAGAGUAUGUCGAAUAAAAAACACGAUUUCCUACAUAACUCCAGCCUAAAAAACUCAAGAACCGAACGAAAUUAGUAAAGCAAUAGCAUAUACGUUGAAACGAAAUUGAACUCGAUACUGAAAGCUAACAUACUCCUACAUACUAAAAAUUCCAUUGCAGAUUAUGUAAAAAAACGAAAAAGCCAAAAACCAUAAAGAAAAUGCAAUCUACAGCCAAGAAAUACAGAGUUAUUUCAAAUACAAAACACGAUUUCCUACAUAACUCCAGCCAAAAAAAACUCAAGAACCGAACGAAAUUAGUAAAGCAAUAGCAUAUACGUUGAAACGAAGUUGAACUCGAUACAGAAAGCUAACAUACUCCCACAUACUAAAAAUUCCAUCGUAGAUUAUGUGUAAAAACGAAAACCAAAAAGAUAAAGAAAACUGCAAUGUUACAUGUCAUGAUCAGAGCUAGAAGGAUUUUCUUCAUGAUCCAUUUCCGAGAAAUUAAGAGAAACGAGAAAAAACUUUAAUCAGAUAAGAACAGAAUAUUGGGAAUUCAAUUUCAUUCCAUCCUUUUAUAUACACUUGAAUUCCUAUCAGUUGAGGUAACUGCUAACUCACUAUGGCUAACUGAACCAACUAACAAACUCAGUAACCGCAAAUCCUAACAGUACAGUAGCAUUAUCAAACACUAUACUAAUUACCAUUUCGCCCCAAUUUGAAUACAACGGUAUAAUAUGCAGCCACUAAGAAGUAAGAACUCUCGCAAUUAAGAAAAAACCCCAAUAAAUACGAAAAAUUGAAAAUUGAAAAUUAGAAAUCAAACCUUUGACUGGGAUCUUCUCCACCAUGAAAAUUUCCACGGGAGCGACCCAUUGAUCGGCCGAUUAAAAAGAAAAAAAAUUCACAUAAUUUAUAUAAAAAUAAUUGUUUUUUUUUAAAUUUACUCUUAAUUGAUCUUUAUAAUUCCAAAACGAGGAUAAUAAAAUUUCAAUUUCAGGUGCUUAAUUUGAGGAAAAUAUAUAUGCUUCGAAUUCCUAAGAACCCUAAUUUACACGAACAAACUAUGCGCUUUUCCAGUUCCUUCCAUUUCUUUUUUUCUUUUUUCAAUUUUAAUUUUCGUAUCAUUCGUUGACUUUCACGUUUAGUCAAAUAAUACUAUAUAAAGAUAUUUAAUUUAGGGCUAAAUACAGUUUGCACCCUUAAACUAUAAGGGUGGUAACACUUACCCCUUAAAGUUAUAAAUGUAACACUUACCCCCCUCAUUAAUGAAUUUAAAGGUAUAACUUUGACUUUGAAUGAUGUGGCAUUUUUUCUUCCCAAAUUGUCCUUCUAGCCAUUAAAUAAAUAAUGAAUAUCUAAUAAUAAAAAAUUCGGCAACUUUGCCAAAACUUAAUUUUAUUAUUUCAAUAUUGUAAAUUUAUGAAUGAAAAAAAUUGAAUUUUAGUUUAUUUUUGUUUUACCUUGUGUUCAUUUGUAGCUAAUAAAAAGUUAACGAUUAUUCGAAUUUUAAUUAUAAUUUUAUAGUUUAUAUAGUUAUUUUAAUGCGUAUAUGACUCUAAUAUAAUCAUCUCACUUUUUACUUUGAGAAUCACAAAAUGUAUUCAAAAGUUAAUAAGAAAUUAUAAUUUAAACGUCUAAAUAUUUAAAUAUUAUUUUAUUAAAAUUUAUUUUUAAGUAACUUAAAUAAAUUUUCAAAUCAAUAAUUAUUAUAAAAAAAUUGGCCAUUUAAGUCUUGAAUAUUUUUUUCUUGCGAAUGUUUAACGUAUUUUAUAUAUUUUUUAAAAUAUUGAGAUUUUUAUUUAUAUUAGGCUCUAUAGUAAUUAAAAUAUGGAGUUAAACAUAAAUCAAAAUAUUUUUUUAAUAAUUAUUAUAUUUUAUAAAUUUUAGUUUUUGAUAUAUUAUUGAAAAUAUUUUAUUAUAUAUGCAUCAAUAUAAUAGCUAGAAGGACAAUUUGGAAAGAAAAAAUGCCACAUCAUUCAAAGUCAAAGUUUAUCAUUAAAUUCAUUAAUGAGGGGGGUAAGUGUUACAUUUGUAACUUUAAGGGGGUAAGUGUUACCACCCCUAUAGUUUAAGGGUGCAAAGUGUAUUUAGCCCUUUAAUUUAUUUUAUUUGCGAGAAUUUUAUUUAUAUUCAUAUUUUUUAAAAUAUAUUUCAUUAUUAUGAUUCCGGGCUUUUAUAUUAUGCUCUUAAAUAUUUACUGGCCCAAAGUUUGAUCACACACCAAUAAACUUGAUCCAAAUAGACAAUGCCCAUUAGGAUCAAAAGUAAAAUUAGAUACCGAAGUGAAAAAUUGGAAAUUCGGGUAUGGCUGGAAAUCGGAACGAAAUUUUUGAAUUCCGUCGAUUUCAAUCGAAACGUAUCUGAAUUUGAAACCGCUUUCCUAAGCCGGUUUCCAAAUUUCUGAUUUUGCAUUUUUUCAAUUUACUUUGGUACGUAACUGACAUUGUAUAUGAAGUUCCCAAAAUUUCCGAUAAUUUAUUCGAUUUUAGUUCCGAAUAUUCAAUUUUUCCAAACAAUAUAAUAUUAUAUUAUAUAUAAUAAAAAAUAACUUGAUGAUAUGUUUUAUAAUUAUAAUAUAAUUUUAUGAUAUAUUUUAUACAAAGACAUAAUUACCUAAGGCCUAAAUAACUAAAAAACCAAGCAGCCUACUUUUUAUCAUAUUUCGCCCGGUGGACUUGCAAACGAUCGGAAAAUUUCAAAAAUCCGAUCAUUUCCGUGUUUGGAAAAAAAAUAUUGUAUCUUAAUAUAAUUAUCGAAUUCCAAAAUUCCGUCAAUUGCAAGGCAUUCAAAAAUCAGAACGGAUUUUUGAAUCCCAAUUUUUUGGAUCUAGAAUUGGUACCAAUUUUCAACUUCUAAAAAUAAUUAGAAAAUCCUCGAAAAAUCAUUUCCAAUUUCAACACAAAUAAACUUGAUCCAAAUUGACAAUGCCCAUUAGGAUUAAAAAGGAAAAUAGAUAUGAGAGUCAAGCCCGUGAAAAAAUCGGAAGGAAAUGUUUGAAUCCCGCCGAUUUCAAUCCGAACAUUUCCGAAUUUGAAUCCGCUUUUUUUUUUUUUUUUUUUUUGGGUUUGCAAAAUUCUGAAUUUUACAUUUUUUUCAAUUUUUUGUGGAACCAAACCGAAAUUUCUAUAUCUAUAUCUAUACUAUUUCUCUCUAUGAUAAGAUUUUGAGGGUAGUUAGGUAAUUGAAUUGGUAUUUCAUUAUUUCAAUUUUACAAUAAUAAUAAUAAAAAUUAAAUUACAUAAUGUAUUAAAAGAAAAGACCAUCAUACAGUCAUAAACAUACAGUGGGAAUAAUAAUUAACUUUCUAAUAUGAAAAUCGAUAGAUAAACGUUGCGGAUGAUGCUCCCAGGUGUAUUCGGCGUGGCACGUUCAAUGAUUACAUACAAAAGGGAAGCAAUAUCACUUUCCGGCAAAACAUACGCCAACCAUUGUAUAGCCUUAUAGGUAAAUUGUGUUUGUAAUCGCGCGCGCUUGUUCGUCUUUUUUAAAUUGUGAUUCGUGUUUGAUUAUAUACGAUUUAUGGUCAUAGUUUUUUACAGCUUGUAUAAUGGUUAACCAUUGCCAUAAUGAAUAUGUUAUUGAUUCAUGUAAGGAGUCUUCAAUUGUGGGAGAGAAGAGUUUGUUUUGUUUUUUAAGCUUUUUUUCUUUGUUAGGAUUGCAUAGGGCUGUGUUUGGGACAAAAUUAAGAAAUUUUGGAAUUCGGGAUUCCGGAUUGAUUUUGAUGUUCUAUUCAAUGUUUUGAAACCCGGACCGGACCGGCCGGUCCAACCGGUUUAACCGCGAACCGGUGGGUGGUCCGGUCUGGUUCAACCCAAAAACCCGCAAGGUGCAAAAAACCGGUUGAAUAGCUAAAAACCGGUUGAAUUACCGGUUCAACCGGAAUACCUCAAAACCGGCCAGAACCGGGUUUCUGAAAAAUAAAGAGCAGGGGGCUGAUUUCUUGCAGUGGUGGUCUGGAUCUGGAGAUUAAAAGUAAAUCUUGUAUGCCAAUGGAUUAAAAGAAGAAAAUAUAAGAAGAGUAAGCAAACGAAAACGAGAGUUAUAUGACUGGGUAGCUGAAUCUAAGGGCUUGAGUAAGAACUUGGGUGGUCGGAAAUAAGAAGAAACUUCUGGUGGCGGCUUGGAUGGUGAGUAGAUGGAAUUGAAAGGAUGAGAGAGAGAGAGAGAGAGAGAGAAUUUGAACCGAAAGGACAAAAAAUUAAAAAGAUAAAAUAUUGGAGAUAAUUGAAAGAAAGGUAAAAUACUAUAAUGAACAAUAAAAAUAAAUAAUAAACAAAGUAAUGUAUAAUUACUUUUGUAAAAUUUAAACAUAUGGCUGCGUAUAUAUAUGAAUAUUUUGGUGUUUGGUAUUUAUGUUUUAUGUAUAAAUAUAUAUUAUUGGAUUUUUAAUUGAUAUUUUUUUAAUAUAAUUGUAUUAAAACUAUAUAAAAAUAAUAAAUAGACGAAAAAAUACAAAAACCCGGUUGAACCCCGGUUGAACCGGUCGAACCGUGACCCAGUUGGCCGUCCGGUUCGAUGUCCCGUCCGGUUUUCAAAACAUUGGUUCUAUUCAUGUUUUACAUUACUAAUAACUCGGUGUUUGGUGAAUACACGAUUAACCUUUGGAAUUCGGAAUUCAAAACGGGAAAUUUCAUAAUUUUAAGGGAUAUAGAUUUUAUUUUUUCUUCACUAAACCAUCUUCUGCCGCAAUGAUUAUCAAUUAACUGCAAGUUUUUCUCACUUUAAAUUAUUGCUUUAGACAAAAAAGAAAAAAACGGAACAUUUUUAUUGAAUUCCUAAAAUUCCGAAAAAAUUGAUUAUUUCUGAAUUUGGACAAACUAACGUAAUUUCCAAAAUUUUCGAGUUUCCGCCGUUCCGAGGCAUUCCAAAAUCAGGAAGGAUUUUUGAAUUUCGAUAGUUUUGGAACGAAAUUCAAAACCAAAUUUUAACUUCUGAAAAAAUCUUUUUUUUUUUUCAAAAAAAUCAUUUCCGACCCGUUACGUCUGAUUUUCAACCCAAACUAACACUAGAAAAAGUAUCUUCAAAUAAUAAAAAUAAAGAGUAUUGUCAAAAAAAAAAAAAAAACUGUUUGGUAAUGGUAUAUAAAUAUGGUUACAAAAGUAUUUUUCUAUUACCAAAAAAUAAUUUUUUUGUAACGAGUACAUAAAAUAGCUACAAAAGUGAGCAAUUGUUACGAAAACUUUUAUUAGUGACAAAGAAAAGCUUUUCAUUACAAACUGUAUAAUGUUGUGACAAACCAAUCAAAGAAUCUUAGUGACAUAUAAUUACGUUAUUAUUUUUCUCAAAAAGAAAAAAAAAACCUUAUUACAAUAGUCAUAGACUUUGUGUUCUUGAAAUACUCAUAUUGCAGUUAUUUAAAAAAAUAUACCUUUUUUUCACGUAUUUAUUCUGGUUUGAUAGUCUUGUAAAUAGUACUUCUCAUUCACUACUUUCUUUAAGUUCUCAAGUUAUUAGCAAAACUCAAAUUACAAAAAUAACAUAUUUAUUGACAAUUAUAUUUGUCAUAUAUAGUAUUUGUGACAUGAUCGUUAUUGGAUUAUAAAAUAUAAAUAUUUUGAAUUUUUAGUAUUAGUAAGGAAGAUAGUGUUCAUAAGAAAUUUUUGUAACAAUAUUAUUUAUGAUAUAAAUAAAUCAAAUGAAUAUUAAAAGCAUGUAUUGGUGACAAAUGAGUCUUUUCUAACAAUAAAAAAUUGUUUAGUGAGGAUAACUUUGUUACUUGUAAUUGACCUAUUGCAACGAAGGGUUUUUUGUCACCGCUUUUCGUAACGAAUUAGGGAUACGUGUUAUUAAAACUUCCAGCGUUGGGCUUUAGAGGACAAACAAGGUAACGAAACAAAAUCGUUACAAAACGUUUUCAUGAUGAAUUUUAUCCUAGAAAAAUAUUUGUUUUCUAGCCGUGAACAAGUAAAUAUAAAAGAUUAUCAAAUUAAUUCAGUUAACACGACACGUGAAACGCACGUGCAGCGCACGUGCACCUAUCUAGUGUAUAUAAAAUUUCCAAAAUUUCUGAUUUUUUUAAUUCCAUUUUAGUUCCGAAUAUUAUUUUGUUGUUUUCAAAAUAUAUAAUAUUUUAUAUUAAAUAUAAAUAAAAAUAAUUUUAUGAUAUGUUUUAUAUAUAAUUAAUUAUAUGAUAUAAGUUAAAUAUAUUUAGAUGAUGAAAAUGUGUUGAACCGUGAACCGCCGGUUUAGCCCAUCAGUUAACCCGAUGAAUUUCUUUUGUUUUAAGGUCAAAAAUCAACCGUUCAAUCCUUGUUUUUUGAUAUGAAUUCUUGCGUUCGAAUUUUGCCGUUUGAGACGUUUAAGAGAAAAAGAAGGAAAACAAAUCAAUUUAAGAGAAGAAGAAGGAAAACAUUUCCGUAACUCUUCCAGAUGCUCUUUGAAUGCUUACAUGGAAAGCGUUACUUUGUCGUUAUCGACGACCUAUGGGAGGACAAUCAUUGGGAUAGUCUAGAGGCUGCGUUUCCUCGAGAAAGUACAUAUUUUAUGUUCCCAACACCUCUUGAUUGUUAUCGAAUAUAUGUAUUAUGUGAUAUUUGUAUUUUUUUGUCUCAUCGUCAUAUGUAUAUAUGUUGUACAUUCUGCAGAUCCAUUUUGCUUGUUAGAACGUAUGAUGAAUUUGAGAGAAAAUAGUAAUUGGUUUACUUAACAAGAAAAUGAGACAAGUAUUAGUUCAUUUCCAUCAUUUUUGCACCUUUAUAUAGGUGCUGAAUCACAAACGAGAGUAUAGAAAAAUUAUAACAACACACCACUCCUAAAGACAUUGUACUGAAGUACGAUAGAAAAUUGAAAGUGAGAAAAAAUAAUUGAAGUUAGCUAACACUUCAGUUAAUUAGUUAAUGUCAUAAGUAUGAUCAUUAUGCACUCUUGUACUUGCUUGCAUAAUUGAUUAUUGGUACUGUGACAGACCUUGUAGGUAUAUGUAGCAUCUAAAGUUUGUUUCUUUUCUUGUUGUGACAGAUAAAUGAAGCAGAUUGCUGGUUACAGGUCGGAACAAAAUGGUGCUUUCAAGGCAUAACCCAUAUGUGCAUGGGAUGCAAGUUUUAGAUCGGGAGAAGGGCUUGAAGUUGCUUUUGAAGAAAGCGUUUCUUGAUAGAAGUCUCUAAAAUUUUGAAGGCAGUAACAUAUUCGCGAUAGUAGAGUUGAGUUUCUUUAAUUUGCCUCCUCUUCUUAAGCCGUGUUUCAUGUGCCUGAGCUUCUUUAGGGAGGACACAAAAAUUUGGUUAAAAAGAUUGGUGCACAUUUGGAUAUGCUAGGCCUACUUCCGUAAGCAAUUGGAGGAGAGACAGUGGAGAGCAUUGGCGCAUUUUAUUUCAACGAGUUGGUGAAUAGACACCUGGUUCAUAUUGAAAAGUUGACCAAAGAUGGCUCGGUUAAGACUUUCAAGAUGCACGACCUGAUUCACGAUCUUUCCAUCAUAAAGGCGAAGAAGGAAAUGCGAUUCGAUAUCUAUCGCCCAGAUAGGAAGUCGGAAUGCUUGGACAACCCUUGCCAUCGUGUCGUGUUCUGUGUCGAUGGUUGUGUGGAAAAAUUUAAUCAUUCAGAACAUCAUAACAAACAUAUCCGGUCGUUGUUUUUCCAAGGAUACAACUACAAUCAGAUUGAUAUGCGCCAAUCAUAUUGAAAGUCAUUCCAGCUCCUUCAACUUCUAGAUUUUGAGGGUUUCAAAAUGACCGAUGUCCCAGAUGCAGUCGGUCUCUUGACGGAACUAAAAUACUUGGGAUUGAGAAGCUCAAAUACAUAUAGGAUUAGCAAUCAGGUGUUGACUCACCUUAAAAAACUCGAGGUACUUGAUUUAUCUCACAAUGCGGAGUUGAAGUUGCCAAAUUCUUUUUGCAGAUUGGACAUGCUCCGUCAUCUAUAUACGGAUCUUGGGACUUUGGUGCCACUGAAAAUAGGCUCUUUGAAGUAUCUCGUGACUCUAGGUUCCGUAAAUUUGGAAGAUGGCACGCUUGAGAAGCUUACGCAUAUGAACAAUCUCCGAAAAUUGGGCAUGGUCAUUCAAGAAGACUCGUCGGAUACAAGUGAGCUGUGGACUUCAUUGGCUAGACUAGAGAACCUCGAGUGUCCAAUUUGAGAUUUGAUGGACUCCGCAACUUUGACGGGUUGUAGCAACAAAUUCUUAUCUGCGAUUUAAACAAACAAGAAAAACUUGCACAAAGAUAAUUUUAUUGAAUUAAAAUAAAAUAUUGCGGGUUACAAACUCUAAUUUAAUCCUCGGAUUCUUCUCUCAAGAACAAUAUUUUGUUUGACUUUGAAUUUCGGAGUCGGGUCGUUGACUUGAUCUUUUCCGGAUUUGAUUUGGAUUUGAAUAACGUCUUCCAAUGGUCUUGCUACUUGAAUCUCGGAUCGAACGCUGAAGUUUGACGGGUUUUGACUUGAAGAUCUUGGGGUUCUUGAUAGAUUUGGCCCUUCAAUCUUCCUUCGAUCUUGAUUUGUAGUUAAAGAUCUUGGAGUUCUUGAUGAAUUUGGCCCUUCAAUCUUCCUUCGAUCUUGAUUUGUUGAAGAACGCCCUCGAUUUGAUGAAGAACGCCUUGAAUUUGUUGAAGAACGACUUGAAUAUUGUAGAGAGAAUUUUCUCCUACGAUUUUUCUUCUUCUUGAGUUGUGUUUUGAAUUGUGUAGAGAGGGUCCCUAUUUAUAGUGGUAGAAUAAGAGUCAUACUUAAAGUCUACUUGAUGACGUGGCGCGAUUUGAUUGGCUCUCUUUAAGAUAAUAUUUAUCUCUUAUAACUUGGAAGAGAAGUAAUAAUCCUAUUGGUCAAUAAUUAAUUGAUAAUUAUCUCCAUAACUUAUUUUGUAAGAUAAAUUAUAAUUUAAUUAGACACAAUUUAAUUGGCUAAUUUAAUUAACCAAUUAAUUAAUUUUAUGCGUCUACAGAAAGACUUGACAUGCUGCAGAAUCUUACUCACCUUAAACUCCGCCUUGAACUCCGAAGGGAAGUGAGCAACUUUCCCAGCGCCCAUGAUUUCCCACCAAAACUCUCUUCUUCGACCUUGAUCUCUGCUUGGAUUGAGCCUGAUAAGGUGAAUGAACUGGCCAAGUUGCCAGAAUUGGUACACCUCAAGUUGCUCGAUGUUAGGUACAAGUUCUUCUAAAUUCAGCCAUAGAUCCGUAGAACCAAAGAAAUAAAGGAAGAGAUAUAAAAACUGUAAAAUGAAUUAGAACGGCUCAGUUCCCUUUUCCAGUGUUCAUACAGUCGAUCCAAGGUCUGGUGGUAACACCAAAACGAAAACAAGCACCCAGCAACAACCACGAUCCAAACCCCAGAUCUGACCCCCCAAACUCACUCUGAGUUGACUCACCAACACAUGAACAGUCAACUCAGUGAAUAACUCACCCUCUCCACUCAGCACAAACCCGAUUUUCUUCACUCAGAACCACCGAAACCCUCACAGAAGAGGAUUAAGGUCAGAAAACAAUUGGUUUGAAUAAAAGGUGAAUCACACCUUGUCUCUCUCUCUCACCACAAUAUUUAUACACGAAGAUUCAACGGUCUUCAGCAUAAAUGAGUUGCGACGGCAAGGACACCCAUUGUCCGGCUAGACCUGCGACGGUGUCGCCGGAAAACGAUAAUGAGUGACGAUAUACUGUAGAGAGAGAAGGGGACAAGGAGAAUAGAGAGAAAUGGCGCAGUAGAGAAGUGCUGCUAGGGUUUGAGAGGAGAGUUUAAGAAUGGGGCAAAUAAAGGGCUGAGAUUGAAACCCCACAAUAAACGGUCCAAAUUUAGGUUUGACUGGAUCGGUGGGCUUAUGUUGCUUUGGGCGAUUUCAGGAAUUGGGCUACAAUUUAUUUAAGUACACGACCCAAAUCACUCUGAAAUAAUUUAUGGUCCCGAAUUCGUAUUAUACAGAGGUGUUAUCUGAAAUGUUGUGACACUUGAGACAACAUGCAGCGGAAAUAUAAAGAUUAAAAGACAGUACUCAGAAUUAAAAAUGUUCACAAGUAAAGACUUGUGAACUUGCCCUUUACAGGACGGAAAAAUAUAUUAAAAUCAGUAUUCCAAGAAUACAAACAGAAGAGGUGCGAAAACUUCUUCCUUAUGAAUGAAUCUUUUUCAAGAUCAUUCUUACAAUCAAAUCUAGAUACUAAAAGAAAAAUAUUAAAAAUUCUAGAUUUCAAAGAUGUACUCGUGAGGAGUACGUACAGAACUUAUGAAUGAAUCACUAUCUUGAUCAUUCUUACAACCAAGUCUAGAAACAUAUAUACUAAACAAUCUAGACUACAAAGAAUGUACUUAUGAGAAGUACGUAAAGAAUGUACUCAUAAGGAGUACGUAAAGAUUGUACUCAUGAGGAGUACAAACGACCGAUUCUAAAACCACUCUAAAACACUCGUGAAUAUUCUUCAGCCCUCGGUUUUUAUUUCAUAGAAUCGAUUAAUUUCCUUGAGUCUUGAAGUCGGUAUUUAUAGACAUUCCAAGCUUCCACUACUCAGCCCAUGAUCUGCAAGAAAACCAACCACAAGAGCACUCAAGAAAAUGGGUUAGUGGGUUAGUUUAAGGAGUUAGAAUAAUAUUCACAAUUAAACCCACUUAAGCACUACUUAACCCACUAACUACUAUACUUAACCCACUAAGCACUACUUAUUUAAUAAUUAAAAUUUAGUUAGAAAAAUAGGAAAGUUAAAAACAAUUCCACGUGUUUCAAACUCCCCCUUUUUAACUUUCUGAUCAAAACUAAAUUUUAGCUUAACUCCCCCUGAGUCAUUGCUUGAACUCCCCCUGAAUAUGAUAACCAAUAUAGCAAAUAACAAAAUAGUGCAAUUCAAAGUCUCCUCAGUAUCAGCUGUUGUUCCUCCAUCACUAGUACUGGAUCCACUACUUUCCUCUGCUCCUUCAGCUUCACCCUGCUUCAACUUCAUGAUCAGCUUGUUCUCCCCCUUUUUGAUCAGAAAGAGCUCUCUGAAGCAUUUCCACCAUGCACUGAUGAUAGGUGAUCUGAACUAGCGAGUGAGUAAGCUGUUUAAAAAAAAAUCUCGAGAAACAGAAAUAAGGAUGUCAGGAGUGUUGUCAACAUGAGGAGCAACACCUUCAGUAUCAAGAUUAUUUUGACCUGAUUCAUUUGAGAGGAAAUUAUCUCCAUUCCAGGGAAGAUCUUAAAAUUUUGAGAAAGCAGAAUGGAGUAGAUGAGAGAGGGAUUUAAAACGAUUGCCAAAAAGAGUUUUACGAACUUCAGUAAAAUCACCAUAAUUAUCCUCAUCAAUCAAAGUAGGAGUUUGUAAAUGAGAGUUGAUAAUUUUGGGAGAAAAAAUUGAUUCGCACAAAAAAAAACUUUUCCAAAGUUUGGAGAAUUUUUCUUUAAAAACAGUUUGUAAAUUGGCAUAAAAAUUCCUUCAUAAGGACAGACAAUCUCAACUAGACUAAGGAUUUUUCUUUGUUCAAGUCCCUAUGAAAAGCAAUUAUCCUAUGUCUAUCAAACUCAUCCUUGAAAAUUUCAUUUCCUCAAUGAAUUGGCAAUUCAUGAUUUGAGGACUCAAAUUUGAAUCAGAUUCAAAAUAAAAAGUAGGACUGAAGGCAUUGUUUACCUCAAAAGGAGUUGACAUAUUCUUCCCAUCCAAGUCUAGCUCUUCAUCCGCUGAGUGUUCCUCUUCUUCUGAUUCUUCAAGUUCAUCUGGGAUGUAUGCUGGCUCAGGUGAUGCAACAGGUGGAGCAGCAUCUUCUGCCAUUGUCAUCACUUUUCUCUUCAUCUUCAACCUGGGAAGGUGGUGCAUCCACUUGAACAGCUGCCUCUGUCAGAGUUUCCAGAGGAUCUUCAUUUGGAGCUGAGGGUGUUUCUUCAGUGGUAGUAAAAUCCUGAGCAUCAACAGUGGGAAUGUCAACAUGCUCAACAGAGGACAUCCCAGAAAAAUCAAGCAUUUCUUCAUCCUGGUAGGGAGCAGCAUCCUCAGCAACAUUUUGAGAAGCAUUGUCUGAGACAGUAGGUGCAACAGCAUUUUCAGGAACAUGUGCAGCAACACCUUCAGAAACAGGAUGUUGAGAGGCUGCUGCUGCCAUGCUAGGCUGAGAUGUCUCCCCCUGAAUUGAUGCUGGGGAAGGUGAGUCCUUUGAUGAUGACUCAGAGGAGCUGGAGAUAGAGCUUGAGCCUCCGGUGCUGCAAAGGUAGGAUCUCCUUUUUCAUCAUCAGUCUCUUCAUCAACCAAAUGAAGGCCUCUUGGUGGGUUUGGCCUAACUGGAGUGCGACCGACUCUGCCGCUUCUUCUUCCACCUCUGCCACCUCUGCUGGGAGAAUGUCCUCCCCUCCGGCGUUGUGAUCCAGUAGCAUUUAGAUCUGGGAAGGGAUUCAUGCGCUUGGACCGGCGAGUUGAAAACCUUCCUGCAUUGGAAGAGGGACCCACGUACUCGAAGUUGUCUGGGUCAAUAGGAUUCAGCUCGUCUCCGGGCUCAAUAAAGCUGAUCGGCAUAGCUUCAAGGUUGACAGGAUGAACGAUGAUGGCUAGAUUCUGGUCUGCUGGUUCAGGUGCUGCAGCAUCGUUGUGGACAUCAUCUUCGGCUGGAAGAGGAUUUCUAGGAGGAGAUGCCAUGAUACAGUAGAUAAAAAAUGCUUCUUGUGCUUUUGAUUUUUGAGUGUGAAUUUUCGAAAGAGAAGCACGAAAUUUAUAAGCCCUAAUUUGCAGAAAAAAUCGAAGUGGAGAAGGUGAAGAAGUGGUGUGCGUUUUUCUUGGAGAAAGUGUGAUUAAGGAGAAUACAGGUUUAUGUGGCAGUUUAAAACAAAACGUGACACAUGGCACAAUAAGGAGUGGACUUAGUGGAAAAUGAAAGACUAACCCAUGUACCCCAUGACCCAUAUAAAUAGUGAUAAUUCAAUAUAAAUAAUAGUAAUAGAGAUAAUAACAGUAUCACUCACGAAAUAUUCACAAAAAUAAAAAACACAUCUAUUAAUGAUUAAUAGUGUGAGAAAAAAUUGGCUAACAGGCAUAGAUUUUAUUAUAUAUAUAUAUAUAUCUAAUAUUUUUUUUUUUUUUUUUUUUUUUUUUUUUUUUUUUUUUUAACUCUUAUUUUCAAGUCAAACAAUUCACAUGGAACAUGAUCAAGUGUUCAGUUUGAAGGUUCCUCAGUUACUAAGAUAUGACUAUCAAAAUAGAGGAGUUUGACUUAUGUGAGCGUAAUUAUUCCCUAAAUGUUUACAUGAAGCAUGAUCACGUUUCAAGGUGAAAGACUUCCAGUUACUUAUUUAGAAAAAUAAUUCAUCACAGUGAAGUCAUUAUUUAAAGAAGCUAAGCUUCAGUAAAUUAUGUUGCAGCUUAAGAUAUUUGAUGAGGUGCUGCAACAUUUUUCAGGACAUGUUUAUUGAGUACACAUCCCGAGAGAUUUUCUGAGUUUAGAAAACCUCUCAUAAUCUAAUGCCUUUGUAAAGAUGUCAGCCAGCUGAUCUUCUGUAGGAAUGUACUUUAAGCACACUAUAUUUUUCUCAACUAUAUCACGAAUAAAAUGAUGUUUAAUAUCUAUGUGUUUAGUUCGUGAGUGUUGAACAGGAUUUUUUGAAAUGUCAAUAGCACUUGAAUUAUCACAAUAUAUGGUCAGGGUAUCACUGGUCAACCCAUAAUCUCCCAACAUUUGUUUCAUCCAAAUUAGUUGACCACAACAUCCUCCAGCAGCUACAUAUUCUGAUUCAGCUGUUGAAAGAGAUACACAGUUUUGCUUUCUACUAAACCAAGAAACUAGAUUAUUCCCCAAAAAGAAACAUGCACUUGAGGUGCUUUUUCUGUCACUGAUAUCCCCAGCCCAACCAGAAUCACUAAAACCUAUCAAGUUUGUAUUAGUGUCUUUGAAAAACUGAAUCCCUAAAUCUACUGUACCUGCAACAUACCUAAUAAUCCUCUUCACAGCUUUAAGAUGAGUGACUUUGGGAUUAGCUUGAUACCUGGCACACACACAAACACUAAACAUAAUGUCAGGCCUGCUUGCUGUUAGAUACAGAAGACUUCCAAUCAUGCUUCUGUAAAGGGUGCUGUCAACAUCUUCUGCAACAUCAUCCUUGGACAGUUUUUGGCUGGAACCCAUUGGAGUUUUCAUGUGCUUGGCUGACUCCAACUCAAAUCUUUUGACCAGAUUGAGAUCAUACUUCUUUUGAUUUACAAAAAUUCCUUCACCUGUCUGUUUGAUUUGGAGUCCUAGGAAGUAAUUCAACUCUCCUACCAUGCUCAUUUCAAAAGUGUGAGACAUAGAAUCUACAAAAGACUGAAAAGGGUUAGCACAAGUAGAGCCAAAAACAAUAUCAUCAACAUAUAUAUGAACACUAAUGAUAUGAUUAUUAGUUCUUCUAACAAAUAGGGUUCUGUCUGCCUCUCCUCUGUUGAACUGUAUUUCAAGUAAGAAGUCAGUGAGUCUUUGAUACCAAGCUCUAGGAGCUUGUUUAAGACCAUACAGUGCCUUCUUAAGCUUGAAAACAUGAUUAGGCUUGGCAGAAUCUUCAAAACCCUUGGGCUGUUCUACAUAUGCUUCCUCAUUUAAAACCCCAUUCAUAAAUGCAAUUUUGAUAUCCAUCUGAUACAAUUUGAUUUUAAGAAAACAGGCUAUAGCAAGAAGUAACCUAAUAGAUUCAAUUCUAGCUACUGGAGCAAAGGUUUCAUCAAAAUCUAUACCUUCAAUCUGAGUAUAACCUUGUGCUACUAACCUAGCCUUAUUUCUAACAACUGUACCUUUUUCAUCAGUUUUAUUUUUGAAGAUCCACUUAGUUCCUAUCACAUUUACAUGACUUGGUCUGGGAACUAAGUACCAAACAUCAUUCCUGAUGAACUGAUUCAGCUCUUCAUGCAUUGCAUUAAUCCAAAACUCAUCCUUCAGUGCUUCUGCAAUAUUCCUUGGUUCGACUGAAGAUACAAAGCAAGUAGUUCCAGUUAGUGUACAUUUAGAAGAUAAAUUUGCAAAUCUUACCAUAUCUCUGUAAUUCACUCUCUCUUUUCUUCUGGUCCUUAUCCCAUCAAAGAUAUCUCCUACAACUUGAGUCGAUGGGUGAUUUUUCUGGAUUCUACUUGAUGGUUCCUUUCUGCAGACAUCAUGAGUUGGCUGCAGUUCAGCUUCUAUGCUCUCUGUAGGAAGUAUUGAGUCAGAUGUGGUAACACUUGUCUCAACACCCUCUUCUCUUGACACUGGACUGUUUAUAUCUGGAGCAUCUGUGGCAGUAGUGUCUCCUCCUGUUGUUUCUCCUUCAGCAAUCAGAUCAUCAACUUCAUCUUCGGCUGUUUUACUGCGGAGAUCAACAAAGUCAUCAAAUACCACAUUUACAGAUUCAAUAAUGGUUCGAGUUCUUAAGUUGUAUACUCUAUAAGCAUGACUGUUAUUAGAGUAUCCCACAAAUAAACUCAAAUCACUUUUUGAACCAAAUUUAGCUAGAUGAUCUCUGUCAUUUAGGACAAAGCAAACACAUCCAAACACAUGCAUGUAUUCUAGAUCAGAUUUUUCUCUUAAAAAAUACACCAAAGUAUAUCUCGAAAAAUCAUCAACACACACAAAUACAUAUUUUUUACCACCUAGGCUUUCUACCUCUAUAGGACCCAUAAGAUCCAUAUGUACAAGUUCAAAACAAAUGGUGGUUCCAACGGGUUGUAACACUUUGUGUGGUACUCUAGUUUGCUUUCCCUUCUGGCACAUUCCGCAUAUAGGGAUGUCCUUGAUCUUGAGAUCAGGAAUUCCUCUUAUGGCAUUGUACUUAUUGAGCAGCUUCAGAUUUUUGAAGUUUGUGUGCCCAAGUUUCUGGUGCCACAGCUCUACUUCACUUACUCUUGAAUUCUUGCAUGAGAUGGUGUCACCUGUUUGAUAGCAAUUAUCCAUUGAUCUGGAACCUGUAAGUACACAAUGAUUUUGAUUAUCAAACACAGAACAACAGUAUUUAUCAAAUUCUACACGUAGAUCAUCAUCACACAAUUGACUGAUACUGAUGAGGUUUGAUCCCAAUCCUUCAACAUGUAGGAUAUUUGAAAGUUUUGGAAGUCCCUCAAUACUGAGUGUUCCUCGUCCAACCACUUUGCCUUUAGCUCUUCCUCCAUAGGUUACACGUCCUCCAUUGAGUGUAUGGUAGUUUGAUAGAAACUCUUUAGUUCCAGUCAUGUGCCUAGAGCAUCCACUAUCAAAGUACCAUGAACCUGAAAUGUUAGCAUUUAAAGAGGUGUAUAUUGCUUUGCACAUAAGUUUACCUUUGGGAGUCCAUAUUCUACACUCCUUUUUGGUAAAUUCUACCUUUUUCUUGGAGGUGUUCCCUAGAGUGUUGUGACUCAUCCUGUACAACAUUUUGUCACUACUUAGUUUCUCACACAAUGGACGGGUAUGUCCUGGUGAGAAACAGUCAUGACAAAUGUAUCCCCUUAUUCUGGACUCUGAAGUGGUGACUGUGGAAUUUCUGCAUUCUUUUCCAUUUGAACCCUUCUCUUUUACAAAGACAUUCUCCUUCUUCUUUACUGGCUUGUGUUUCUUCACUUGGUUUUUGAAUCCUAGACCUUCAUUUUUGUUGUACUUCUCCAGUGACACAAUCUCUUUGAGUUUAAUUGUGUCGGUAUUCAUCCUCUUGAUUGCUAGAGUCGCUUCUUUGAGUUCAUCUUUCACCUUUGCCAGUUCAAGAUCCUUCUUGGUGAUACCAACCUCCAAAUGAGUGAUUGUUUCUUUGAGAGAAGGAUUUUCCUUGUUGGUUGCAUCUAGAGCUUGAGUCUUCUUCUCCAAGUUUCUGAUCAGCUUCUUACACAUUUCUUCAUCAUCACUGACUGCUUCAUUACUAGAUUCUGCUGCAUUCACAGAAAUAGAGUUUAAACAUGUAUAAUGAUCAGUAUUUAACUCACAAAUUGAAAGUGUUUCAGAAAGUGUUGCAGCAUCCAGGGAGACUCCUUGGGAUUCUGUUUCAGUGGAACUUCCAGUAAGAUAUCUGGCAGAAAGAGCUUGUUUAGAGGAUUGCUGUUCCUCUGUCUGUUCAGGUUGUUCUUCCUCCUCAUCACUGACAGCACAAAUCAAACUCAUUCCUCUCCUUCUCAAGGUAUUUGCACAUUCAUUAGCAUAAUGUCCAAAUCCUGAACAGGCCCUGCAUUUAAUAUGAUCCAAGUUAGGUGGUUCAGAAUUUGAACGAAUAAAAGAAGAAUUUUUUAAAUUGUUUUGAGAAGGUGUUUGAGGAAAUGUUCUCUGUGGAAUAGAUCUGUUCCGGGGCUGAGUUUGUCGAUUUUGUGGAGACCCUUCUGAAAAUAACUGCCUGGGCUUGAUUCCACUUCGUCUGUACGCCCUAUUGAAUUUCUGAAUCUGAGAUGCCACAUUGUUGAGGCAUUCUUCUGCAUCAUCAUCAUAUUCCGGAGCAACAUCUUCCUUCUCUAAUUCUGCCUGGAGUGCAUUUGAGAUAGCCUUUCCUUUCUCCUUUCUUUGAUCUUCGAAGUUCAUCUCUCUGGACUUGAGACUUCCUAUUAAUUCGUCCAGCCGUAGAGAUGAUGUAUCUUUAGCCUCCUCAAUAGCAGUAACCGUCAUGCUGAACCUUUCUGGAAGAGUUCUCAAUACCUUAUUCACUAGUGUCUCGUUGCUCAAAGGACCACCUAAGGA
This 29489-nucleotide long non-coding RNA is filed under the name Erythranthe guttata (spotted monkey flower). RNAcentral's name for it is "long non-coding RNA (EGUT_LNC001607)". The record is from RNAcentral. Lineage: Eukaryota; Viridiplantae; Streptophyta; Magnoliopsida; Lamiales; Phrymaceae.